This 647-nucleotide unclassified non-coding RNA is filed under the name Bombus terrestris (buff-tailed bumblebee). Its description in RNAcentral is "misc RNA ENSBTSG00005020624.1". The record is from RNAcentral. Lineage: Eukaryota; Metazoa; Arthropoda; Insecta; Hymenoptera; Apidae.
AACAGGAACAUUCGUAUCCCAACUUUUUCUACUAAAUUGAUGAAAGCAUUCUAAUUAAAAUAACAAUUAUAAAUUCUUUAAAUGAACUGCAUCAUACUAUAGCUAGUAGUACUAUUUUGAAAAAAUACGAAUAAGUUUACCUUGAUGGAUGAAGAGUAAGUAGUGCUUUUACUUGAGUGAAUAUAACCAUUUACACAAUCUUUUUUGUUAACGCAAAUUCUAUUCAAUCCACUACAGCUAAUUAUAAAAUCAGUGUCCUGUUCGGCGAAUUUUAAACCAUCGGAAGCAAAUUGACCUCGAUGAGCUUGGUUUUGAUUGGUGUCUUGUUUAGGAUUUUCAACUAUCAUCUUUUGCCGAGAAUUUUCAAAUAUUACACCAUCUUGUUCUGGUUGAAAUAUUACUUCUUGUUGUUCAGGUAUUUGAAAUAUCGCAUGUUGUUGUUCAGGAGAUUGAAAUAUUACUUCUGGUUGUCCGGGAAUUUGAAAUAUGGAUUUUUGUUCAGAAUUUUGAUCUGUGUAAGGAUUUUUGGUUUGAGGCGAGUAAGGCAAUCCAUUUGUUGAAAAAAUAAUAGCAAUAAAUAUUAAUGACCUGAUAAGCAUCUUUCUUUGUGUUUCUUCUAUGUAUGUCUGUAAAGAUUAUAAAACGAG